RNAcentral lists this ribosomal RNA (433 nucleotides) under uncultured bacterium. Its description in RNAcentral is "partial 16S ribosomal RNA". It matches the Rfam family "Bacterial small subunit ribosomal RNA", at positions 29 to 507 of the family's 1533-position model. The record is from RNAcentral.
AACGAACGCUGGCGGCAGGCCUAACACAUGCAAGUCGAGCGAGAUCUUCGGGUCUAGCGGCGGACGGGUGAGUAACGCGUGGGAAUAUGCCCUUCUCUGCGGAAUAGCCUCGGGAAACUGAGCGUAAUACCGCAUACGCCCUUUGGGGGAAAGAUUUAUCGGAGAAGGAUUAGCCCGCGUUGGAUUAGGUAGUUGGUGGGGUAACGGCCUACCAAGCCGACGAUCCAUAGCUGGUUUGAGAGGAUGAUCAGCCACACUGGGACUGAGACACGGCCCAGACUCCUACGGGAGGCAGCAGUGGGGAAUCUUAGACAAUGGGGGCAAACCUGAUCUAGCCAUGCCGCGUGAGUGAUGAAGGCCUUAGGGUUGUAAAGCUCUUUCAGCUGGGAAGAUAAUGACGGUACCAGCAGAAGAAGCCCCGGCUAACUCCGUG